CUGAACUCAAUAGCCUUGUUCAACAGGUAGUUUUCCUUCUAAGUUUUGGGAGAAAUAGUGUUUCAAAUGCAAAUGCGAUGUCGUUUUAAUGAAUGUGAACUUGCAGCGACAUCGUAUGUUAGGUGAAAGAAGAUUUAUGAUGACAUUAGAGAAAUGAAUUGUAAUUUAUAAGGCGCAUGGUUCAACUUUGGUGAGAACAUCGUGAAUUUUCCAAAAUAGAACAGGAAUUUGUUUG
RNAcentral lists this long non-coding RNA (235 nucleotides) under Olea europaea (common olive). RNAcentral describes it as "long non-coding RNA (OEUR_LNC013085)". The record is from RNAcentral. Lineage: Eukaryota; Viridiplantae; Streptophyta; Magnoliopsida; Lamiales; Oleaceae.